Molecule: non-coding RNA, 2037 nt
Organism: Cuculus canorus (common cuckoo)
Lineage: Eukaryota; Metazoa; Chordata; Aves; Cuculiformes; Cuculidae
Source: the annotation of a RefSeq genome assembly
AGGGGGGAGGGGAAGAUGCAAAUGAGGACCUUCGGAGAGGGCUUUAAAAGGCUCUGAGAUGGCUCCGUGGUGGCACCACUGAGGUCUCCAUCAUGGACGCCAACGUGGCCUUCAGCCUUCUGCUCCUCUGCCUUCUGCUCCCAGGCCUCCGCGCGGCCGUGACCCUGGUGGAGAGCGGCGGUGGCCUCGUGGCCCCUGGAGGGUCCAUGGACCUCAUCUGCAAAGGCUCCGGCUUCACCUUCAGCAGCUUCGGGAUGGAGUGGGUCCGUCAGGAGCCCCAGAAGGGCCUCCAGUGGGUCACGGGGGUCACCAACGGUGGUGGCACCUCCUCUGCGCCGUCGGUCAAGGGGCGCUUCACCAUCUCCAGGGACAACGGCCAGAGCACGGUGACGCUGCGGAUGACCAACCUGAAGGCCGAGGACACGGCCACCUACUACUGCGCCAAAAGUGUGGUACCGGUGGUGCUACUGCAUGGUGGUGGUAUCGACGCGUGGGGCUCCGGGACCAUCGUCACCGUCUCCUCCGAUGUCCCCCGCCCCCCUCGCCUCUUCCCGUUGGCCCUUUGCGCCGUCCCUCCGUUGAGUCCCACCUACACCGUGGGUUGUUUGGCCACGAGCUUCAUCCCGGAGGAGGUGACCUUCUCCUGGCGAGAUGCCACCAACCGAAGCGUGGACCAAGGCGUGGUGACCUUCCCGGCGGUGGGCAGGACGGCCACCAGCCGCCUUGGGUUGUCCUACCUGGAAGGGAAGAGUCGGCAACCGUUCUUCUGCCGCGUCGACCACCCGCAAGGAGGAGCCGUCCUGGAGGUCUCCAACCCUGGUUCCGCCCCUUCGCUCCCCACCGUCACCCUCCACCCUCCAUCCAAGGAGGACUUCCAAGGUCCAUUCCGCAACUCCACCCUCCUCUGCCAAAUCCGCUCCUCCCGGCACCUCCAGGUCCGCUGGUUGAAAGAUGGGACCCUCCUCAAGGAAGGAAUCACCACCGAGAACCUGGUGGACAACCACCGAGGAGCUUCGGUGGUCAACAGCCGCUUGAGCGUCACCGAAAGCGAGUGGGACGCCGGCGCCGUCUACACCUGCCAAGCGGAGGAGGAGCUCCGGAACACCAGCAAAGCCCUGGAAUGUGGUUAUGGGACCUCCACGUGCGUGGAGGACAUCUCCGUCCAGGUCAUCGCGCCGUCUUUUGCCGACAUCUUCCGAGACAAAGCGGCCACCUUGACCUGUAAGGUGUCCAACCUGCCCGGCGUCGAAGGUUUGGUCAUCUCCUGGAGGAAAGAGAGCGGCGAGAAGGUGGCAACCAAGACAUCUCCUCAGGUCCUACAACCCAACGGCCUCUUCGGGGUGGAAGGGACGGCCACCGUCUGCGCCGACGAGUGGGACAACGGCGACGCCUACGUCUGCCGCGUCACUCACCCCGAGCUCCUCUUCCCCACCGAGGCCACGCUCCAGAAGACCAACGGUCGCGACACCAAAGCUCCUUCCGUCUAUAUUUUCCCCCCUCCCGCGGAAGAACUCUCCACCCGCGAAGUCCUCACCCUCACCUGUUUGGUGAAGGGCUUUAACCCUCCGGAUCUCUUCGUCCGGUGGCUCCGUAACGGAGAACCUUUGGCCGCCACGGACUACGUCACCACUCCGCCCAUUCCCGAAUCCCAAAUUCCCGUCUCCUACCUGACCUACAGCUCUUUGACCGUCGGAGGAGAAGAUUGGGCCGGCGGCAACGUCUACACCUGCGUCGUUGGCCACGAAGGUCUUCCGCUCCAAAUCCUCCAGAAAUCCGUGGAUAAAGCUUCCGGUAAACCAACAGCCGUCAACGUCUCCUUGGUUCUCUCCGACGCCGCCGGAGUUUGUUACUGAGUUGGGAUCCCAACCGCUAAAAGAGUCCAUUUGGGGGUUAAUGUUGAGGGAUUGGAGGAUUUUUUGGGGGGUGGGAAGAGGAGGAAAAGUGGUGAAAUGAGCGCAAAAAGUCAUUAAAUGAAGGCGAAAAGUCAUUAAAUUAAUCCAAAAUGUCAUGAAAUGACCCGAAAAGUUAUUAAAUGAA